This 531-nucleotide ribosomal RNA is filed under the name uncultured Eubacteriales bacterium. RNAcentral's name for it is "bacterial SSU rRNA". It matches the Rfam family "Bacterial small subunit ribosomal RNA", at positions 1 to 507 of the family's 1533-position model. Lineage: Bacteria; Bacillati; Bacillota; Clostridia; Eubacteriales. The record is from RNAcentral.
CGGGUCCGAGUCGUACACGGUAGAGGUUUUCGUAGUCCUCGGCGUCAGGGGUGGAACGCGUGGCGGCGUGCCUAACACAUGCAAGUCGAACGGGCACGGCGUGCGGCAGGGGGCCUCGGCCCCUCGCGGCGCCGCGCGAGUGGCGGACGGGUGAGUAACGCGUGGGCAACCUGCCCUGUACUGGGGGAUAACACCUGGAACAGGUGCUAAUACCGCAUAGCGCGCUGUGCCGCAUGGCGCGGCGCGGAAAACCCCGGUGGUACAGGAUGGGCCCGCGUCUGAUUAGCUGGUUGGCAGGGUAACGGCCUACCAAGGCGACGAUCAGUAGCCGGCCUGAGAGGGUGGACGGCCACACUGGGACCGAGACACGGCCCAGACUCCUACGGGAGGCAGCAGUGGGGGAUAUUGCACAAUGGGGGGAACCCUGAUGCAGCGACGCCGCGUGGGUGAAGGAGCGUUUCGGCGCGUAAAGCCCUAUCGGCAGGGAAGAAGAUGACGGUACCUGACCAAGAAGCCCCGGCUAACUACGUG